UUCCUCCACAAAGCUUCCAGACAGAGUAUCCAUCAGAUAUUUAAACCACUCUGGUCCCGUGGUUGAGGGGCAUCAGUACUCUCUGCAUUGUGUUGUCCAGAACACCGCUCCUAUUGAGCACCUCAGAGUGACCUUCUUCAAAGUCUCUACCAAUGGUGAACAGACAGUGUUAUACACACAACAACUGAACAAUGACAUUAGGGAACCAGUGAAUGGGAGCUUUUCCCUGCAGUUCUCCCCCACUAGUGUUGAUGACGGGGCCCAGUUGUUGUGUUCAGCCAUGUUGGAUCUGGGACCACAGGGACCCCAACCUCCUCCUGUAAUGGAAUCAGAAUGCCUCAACACCACCGUGCACUUCGCUCCUGAGUUCUGCUGUUCUGCCAAGCUGCAGGUGCGAGCGGGGGAGGGGCUAACUUGUGAUGUCAGAGGCAAUCCCCUCCCAUCGGUCACCUGGCUGAGAGACGGAAAGAUGCUGACCCCGCCCACACACCUGAGCAGAGAGGAUGCUGGGAAUUACACCCUCAUGGCUUUGAACCGUAUUGGAAAAGCCAAUCACACAGUGGAGGUGGAGGUCCUACAUGACUGUGCUGCUAGAGGAGCUUCCUGUCAGGCUGCUGGGAGUGCCACGGUGGCUCUGCUGCUCCACCAGCUCAUUCAUUGGCUAUAUUGAAUGAUUAUUUUAUUGAUUGAAUGGUUGAAUGAUUAAUUGACUAAUCAGGACAUCAAUCUCUGUGCUGGAGCUUUGUGAUUUGACAGUGAUCUGUGAGGGCAGUCUUCAAUAGAUCUGGAAUCAGAUCUGAGUUAGUAGAAAACCCUUUUUUCCUAAAUGUGAAAUUAGCUGUUUUGAAAUGUGUUAUUUUGAAGUAGUGCUAUUGAACAGGUCUAUAAUUAAGCAAUAAGGCCCAGGGGGUGGUAUAUGGCCAAUAUACCACGGCUAAGGGCUGUUCUUAUGCACGACACAACGGUAUAAAUGUUUAUUUCAAACCCUAACCUUAAAUGUUUAUCACUAAUAAACUAUAUAUGUUUAGGCUUAAUCCUAACCCUAAGUGUUUAUUACUAAUAAACUAUAUAAAUGUUUAGGCCUAAUCCUAACCCUAAAUGUUUAUUACUAAUAAACUAUAUAAAUGUUUUGGCCUAAUCCUAACCCAGUCUCUAGCAACAGAUCUGCCAUUAUCCUUUUUGCAAUGUUGUCAAUGUCUUUUGUGACUAAUAAAAGUUGAC
Molecule: long non-coding RNA, 1221 nt
Filed under: Salmo trutta (river trout)
Lineage: Eukaryota; Metazoa; Chordata; Actinopteri; Salmoniformes; Salmonidae
Description: lncRNA (ENSSTUG00000020767.1)
Source: RNAcentral